RNAcentral lists this small RNA (908 nucleotides) under Pan troglodytes (chimpanzee). Its description in RNAcentral is "retained intron". Lineage: Eukaryota; Metazoa; Chordata; Mammalia; Primates; Hominidae. The record is from RNAcentral.
CUGGGCUCUCCAUCAUAUUCCAUUGGUUGAUGCAUCUGAUUUUAGGGUAUAUGUAUUUUUAAUGUGCUCCCCAAGAAGUCCUUACAUUCUGCUGCAUUGACAAACCUGUGGCCAAGUUUUAGGCCUAGGUUCUAAUUAAGCUUAAUUCUGGAGGCGAAGUCUCGGGGGGGGACACCCAGACCCUCCUCAGCCCUCAAGUCUCAUGGUAUUCCCCCCCGCCCCAACUCCAUUUAGUGACUCUGACAGUUGGCAGUGUGAACCUAGAGAUCCACAAUGGCUUCAUCCUCGGGAAGAUUCAGCUACCCAGGCCCAAGAUGGCCCCCGCAAAUGACACAUAUGAAAGCAUCUUCAGUCACUUCCGAGAGUAUGAGAUUGCCAUUCGCAAGGUGCCGGGAAACUUCACGUUCACACACAAGAAAGUAAAACAUGAAAACUUCAGCCUCCUAACCUCUGGAGAAGUGGGAGAGUUCUGUGUCCAGGUGAAACCAUCUGUCGCUUCCCGAAGUAACAAGGGGAUGUGGUCUAAAGAGGAGUGCGUCUCCCUCACCAGGCAGUAUUUCACCGUGACCAACGUCAUCAUCUUCUUUGCCUUUGUCCUGCUGCUCUCCGGAGCCCUCGCCUACUGCCUGGCCCUCCAGCUGUAUGUGCGGCGCCGAAAGAAGCUGCCCAGUGUCCUGCUCUUCAAGAAGCCCAGCCCCUUCAUCUUCAUCAGCCAGCGUCCCUCCCCAGAGACCCAAGACACCAUCCACCCGCUUGAUGAGGAGGCCUUUCUGAAGGUGUCCCCAGAGCUGAAGAACUUGGACCUGCACGGCAGCACAGACAGUGGCUUUGGCAGCACCAAGCCAUCCCUGCAGACUGAAGAGCCCCAGUUCCUCCUCCCUGACCCUCACCCCCAGGCUGACAGAACG